RNAcentral lists this small RNA (168 nucleotides) under Clostridium sp. CAG:411. RNAcentral's name for it is "Clostridiales-1 RNA". It matches the Rfam family "Clostridiales-1 RNA". Lineage: Bacteria; Bacillati; Bacillota; Clostridia; Eubacteriales; Clostridiaceae. The record is from Rfam by way of RNAcentral.
UAAUAUAAGAGUCAAAAGCUGAACAGUUAUUUGUGCCUGUACGAUAAGAUGUUCGAAUUUGUGACUCAUCAAACAUGAGGAAGUAGAGAUUUAUGUAGUAAAUCAAUGUAUUCCAUAUGCUUGCGGAGUGCGAAAGCUGCCAUGCAGCAAAGCAAUCCAUAAAUAUCA